GUCUCAUAGUGCAUCCCUCCCAUAGUGGGUGGCAUCAUGCAGGCUCCUGAUGAGUUUCCAUUCUUGGGCUUCAGAUAUUAGAACCUUGUCAUCCUUUUUAUAUUAGCUUGUGCUUCCUUCCUUAUAGCCCCGUUUCUCAGCCUUUUCUUAUUCUUUUGGGGAAUAUUGGGAAAAGCUGGGGAGCUCAGGAGGGCCAAUCACUAGGGCAAUAACUUGCUCAGGCUUCUGCAGUCAAGCUGCCCGUUUUGUGGUUUGAUCAACUUUGCUGUUCCUCUGGCUCACAAAAGACUCAUCCCUCUGACGGCUCCUCUAGCGGAUCACUGCUACCUGGGUUCCUAUCUCUGUAAAAUUGCUCCCAUUAGGAAACCAACUUCAGGACUGUCAGGAAGUUCUUCUGGAAGAUCAGCCCUGCUGAGGUACAAUAUGUAGGAAUAAGAAUGCUGGGUCAAAUGGUCUUCUUAUCAAUCUAGGACUCCAGUGGCUUUCUGCAGAGCGAGCGAGGAUUUAUGGAUGUGUCUCUUACACUGACUCUGUGAGAACAGUAUACCAAAGUAAAUGAGGAAAAAUCAGUUAAUAUUCUAAGUGAUUUAUCUAUUGUAUACCAAAUGCUCAGAUGUUAGUUCUAUCGGGGAGCAUACCGCAAUAAACGUAAUAAUAAUGGAGGACGCAUUUUUCCCAUUCUGUAGUCAUUGCCAACUCCGUAUGGGAUAGUAAGUCAAGAUGGAAAUGGAAUCCACCCUGGGUACAUGAUUUUAUAAUACUUGUUCACUUUUCCCUCUGUUAAAGAUUUAGACCGGAAUUGUCAUAAUGGAUGUUAUUUUUCAAAUAAUACAAUCUAUUCAUGAUGAUUCUACUACCUAGUUUUGAAAUCUGUCUCUAUAAAGUUUAUAUUGGAAUAUAAAUUGGCCUUUCAAGUGAUACUAUUUGCUUUGCAGCAUUUUUGCCUGAGGUCUUCUUUAAAUCUAAAAUCUGUAUAGAGACUUAAGAGGGCUGCAUUUUAAAAUGCCAUCUGCUUUAAUAUGAUAUUUAGCUUUUCUUCCUUAAUGAAAACAUUUUCCAUUUCUACUCAAGUCUGAAGUUUUUAAAUUAUCAUAAUUAUACGUGUUAAGGUACAUUAUGAUGAAAAGUCAUUUUAUUAAACAAUAUUUUUCUCAGUGCUAAGAAUGACAUAUAUAUUUCAAAUCUGAAAGUUCACAAUAUUCCUCCUCAUAAGAGAAUUGAAGCCAGCAAAGAUUAAAAAGAGGCAAUCUAAUUUAAUGGUUUGCAAUUAGAGUUGAUGAAGAAAUGUGUUAAUCAGUAAAAAAAAAAAAACUCCGAUAACUUCCUGUUGAAAAAAAAAAUGAAAUCAAAGAAAGUAAAAUGAGAAUUCUCGCCUUCAACUUGUUCUUUCCCCUACUGACAGAGUGGAAAAGCUAUUAGCCAGACAUAGAUUUAAGGAGUCUCAUUCUAAAAGUACAUCCAAAUUGUUUGAAAUUACUCCUUUGUAAAACUCAACAAAACUAUGAGUGAAACUGUUAAGGCUGUUGUGAAUAUAAACACUAAAUAUGAUAUCAUAGCUUAUGAAAACAGAAAUAAAAUGAAUCUUUAAAUGAACUCUAUCACUGUAAACUGGAGAGCAUAUUCUAUCUCAGUAAGUUGCAUCAGUGUGCUGUCUUGGAUUAUGAAAGGUCAUAACAGGAUUUUUUUUUUUGCCAUAUUAUGAAAUAAUGUACUCUUCAAAAUAUGAAAUGCUAUUAUUGCAAAAGACAUAAUCUAGCUUUCAUCUGUGACCUGUGACUCAGUUUCAUUAUAAUGGGAAAAUGAUGAUUUUAUAUAUAGUUAGUGAAAUUGUAUACAAAUAGAACAUGUGAAGUUAGAGAAUGUUUGACCUUGCACUGUCAGUAGACCGUAUUCAAGUGAUAAAUGAAACUCAUUGACAAACAAUGUAACAAAGCAUCUGGAAAACAGAGUAGUUCAAGUUCCCCAAAAGGUAAGAAAUGCUUUUCUCAUUGAAUAAAAAAUUGUGUGAAAUGGAGAUAGAAAUGAUUUGGAGCUAACAGGGAAAGUAACAAGCCACUGAGCAGGACCUGUGUAGCAUGUUUUAUAGGUUGUUAUAAUGACAAUAGACAGCUUGAUGAAGGGAGUAACAAAGAACUUAAGGUAUCUAAGAAAAUCUUUUUAUUGGAUUCAAGAACUGAUUUUGAUAUGGUUUGAAAAAAAUCAAGCAUAUAAUUUUUUUAGUCUACUAACUUGAGGGAAAUCAUUAAAAUAAAAACAAGGGUGACCUUUAGCACUCCCAUUCUGGCUAUAGCACUUUAUUUGACCUAUUAUUCUAUCAUGGAGUCAGAAAGAACUGAUCUCACACUACCAGCCUCCGGAUUUAAAAGGAAAAGCGUCACCACCACAGGACAAUACUAAUUGUCUAUUUUGACCACAUGGACCAUACUUCUCAGGUCAUACCUGUGAUCCCCAAAAUCCUUAAAGAACUCCCCUUUACUUUCAAACAUGUUCCAUUUUGAAAAAUAAGGUCACUAUAUAUUUGGGAACCCUGAGGCUGGCAUUUCUAAAUACUAAUCACAUGCCCCUUUUCCAAUUUGUCUACACUGUGUUUCUUAUUCUGUAUAUCUGUUACGGUCAUACUGCC
Molecule: long non-coding RNA, 2623 nt
Organism: Sus scrofa (pig)
Lineage: Eukaryota; Metazoa; Chordata; Mammalia; Artiodactyla; Suidae
Source: RefSeq, a predicted model, not a curated record